Long non-coding RNA from Hyla sarda, 267 nucleotides. RefSeq lists it as uncharacterized. NCBI's taxonomy places the organism in Eukaryota, Metazoa, Chordata, Amphibia, Anura, Hylidae. The transcript has 3 exons. The record is from RefSeq and is a predicted model, not a curated record.
UUUUAGCUCCCAACAGAAGGUCCACACAGAUUUGCUGUUCAAUAACAAAGACACAGGACUAUAUUUCAAGUAUGAAUAAUAGAACGUUACAGUGAAGCCGUUCAGUGCAUUCAUAAUGUUAUACUAUAAAGGGCCCCUUUGUGUUUAAUAGGCAACCUUCAUGUGACCUGGACUGUGGGAAAAAAAGAAAAGAAAUGGGAUUGAUCCUAGAAUUGUACUGAUCCACAGGAAUGCAUAAGGCAUCCUUCUAGUCACUCUCUGUGAUCA